Uranotaenia lowii is the source of this 1073-nucleotide long non-coding RNA. RefSeq lists it as uncharacterized. The record is from RefSeq and is a predicted model, not a curated record. The transcript has 3 exons. Lineage: Eukaryota; Metazoa; Arthropoda; Insecta; Diptera; Culicidae.
UUUCAUUUAACCAUUUACGGAUGAAAGAUAACCAUUUUUUGUUUUUUGCUGAAGAACUUCCAAUAUGGUUAUUUUCUAUUAUUUUUUUCCUAUGAAAUUUUAACCAUUUUGGUAGUUCUCAAAUGAAACCCACAAGAUGGUUGAAAAUUUCGCCAUUUCAUCGCCGCCAUGUUGAAAGUAAUUUGUUCUGCAGCCGGGUGCGUUCUGCAUGGAAGAAAGAAAUUCAAGCUUUUCUUCCACUUAGUAGUGAACAUGAUCCGAAGAACAUCCUCUGGUCCAAAGGAUACCGAAAUGUGGAAAGUUUGCCGGAACUGCAAAUGCAGGAUUUGCGAGCUUAUAAGCCCGUUUAGCUGUACUGGAUUCCACCUAAUGUGACUCUGGAGCUGGCUUCGGAUUAUACGACUCAGCUGGAGCAACCGAAUAUACCCAUAGCUGGUGUGAUGCAGCGGAAAAGUGAAAACAGCAGCUAGAAUAUCAAGUUCCUAUCCAUGAUCUGGAUGCCAGUUGCCAUUUAGGAAUCAUAAUCCGACGAACAUCCUUUGGUCCAGUAAGGAUGCCGAAAUCUGAGGAUCCUCAGAUAAUCGGGAGCUGAAUAUUAAUCCGACCAGGUGCUGCGCAAUUGUUCCACCAAGAUAAUUUGAUGGUAUGCGGUAAUUUUCCGUACUAUUUGGGGGGUCAGACUGCCGGAAAAACAUCAUCCGGCUGUGGAGUGUUGGAAACACCUCGCUGAACAACGGAUUAGUGCUGUUGGUGCUGAUCAUCCGCUAGGAGCUCAACAGAAUACCCUCAAAAUGUUCUACUUGGACUUCUUCCGGAAAAGCAUUUACCGGUCCCUAUCGUUCCUGGCUAUGUUUUGCGAUCCCGGAUCCUAUUUUUCCGAAUCACUAGCAGAGCCAAAGGAUCGGGACAGUGAAAGCACAGAGAAGUGAAAGUAAGUGGUUCGAUGCCGAUUCACAACAAAAAUCGUUGCAUCUUUUCUCUGUAUUUUUUUAAGAACAUCUUAAAAAUUAUUAAAUAAAUAAAAUGAUGUGAAAAACAUAAAAUUUUUUAAAUUUUAUCUUUUUUUUGCGAAA